AGAGACUUUUGGAAAUACUCUUUGGAGGGUGACAGUAUUGAGAAUAAUGAAGUGUCACGAAACUGGGAUACCCAUCACAGACUAGAUAUUGAGUACAGCUUGUGAUUAGAAUACUUUGUUGCAAGUUUCAGCAAAGGUUUGUCUCUACUAUUACACGAGGAAAUCGCUACAGACGACCUCAUUUUAAUGGUUAUGGAGUUAUGAUACAACGGAUUGAAUCGUGAACCUGCACAGCUACACAAUACUUUUAUGACACCCUGGACUUUUAAGUAUUUUAAAUUUCCUACUUCCAUUUUAUCUUUAUAUCAUAUUAUAUUAUAU
Molecule: long non-coding RNA, 321 nt
Organism: Xenopus laevis (African clawed frog)
Lineage: Eukaryota; Metazoa; Chordata; Amphibia; Anura; Pipidae
Exons: 3
Source: RefSeq, a predicted model, not a curated record